This is a long non-coding RNA of Leptopilina boulardi, 1103 nucleotides long. RefSeq lists it as uncharacterized. The record is from RefSeq and is a predicted model, not a curated record. The transcript has 3 exons. Lineage: Eukaryota; Metazoa; Arthropoda; Insecta; Hymenoptera; Figitidae.
CCUUUUUAAAAUUUUUUUUUAAUCAUUGUGUCGGUACUUUAUUUUCUAUAUUAUAAAAUAACUUCGUUCAUUUUGCAAAUGUUUCAAAUGUCAUUAUAUAUUUAUCUUAGACUUGAAAAGAGAUCUUGUCGCGAGACUCUGGAGCUCAAUUUAAAAAUAGUUUUCUGCAUUUUUUUUUUCUUUUUCAUUUUUUAUCUCCAUUAUUCCGAGUUAUUUAGUUCAGACUUGCGCAAAAUUUACAUCGAAGUGUAUUCAAUGCUCAUAACUCUUAAAGCUUUGACGUGCAACCCACUUUUCCCUCUAACUGAAUAGUUUCUUUGCCGCUUAUAUACAAAACGGACACGCAAUUGCCAAUUAAACACCAAAAACUAACAUUCACACAUUAAUGAUGAGGCAAAAAAAAAAAAAAAAACAAUUGGCAAGUGUAUCAAUUUACGAAAAAUCAUUCUUAUGUUACGACACACGAGAAACAGAGAAAAAGCCAAUAAAAAUAACAGAUUCAACUUAUUUACGAUUCUAAAAGUAGUUGAAUAAUAUUUGGAUUUCAAAAACGUAUUUCGAUAAAAAAUAAAUGUCAACUUCAACGAUUCAAUAUGACAAAAACCACUGAAGCUCGUUAUUUUAGGAAAGAGUAAAAAAAAAAAAUUCUAUUUGCCAAGAGUCGCAUGAAAAAUUCCAAUGCAACGAUAAUUUAAAAAAAAAUACAAAAAAAAAAAAUAUAUUCAUAUUUAUUAGAUUCUAGAAAAAAAUAUUCUAAUCUCAAGGAAAAAAAAAGGAAUAAAAACAAAAUGGGAUUCAUGGAUAUUUUCAGCAGAAAAAUUUCGGAAAAUUUCACUUGAAAUAAAAUCUUUUACAACGAAUACGGAAUUUCGAGACUCUAACUGAUCAACUUUCCAAAAAUCAUACGAAAAAAUUUUCGUGUCAAAAAGAAAUCUAUUCAUCAAGACCUAUCAAAAAUAUUCUACUAAAAUGUAGAACUUGGAAAUUUACAACAAAAUUUGGAUUCAUCAAAACUUACCAAAAAUUGUAUUAAAAAAAAAAAUUAGCAAAAAAAUUAAAUUUAACGCAAAAUAAAUUCAAAAUAAUCCACUAAAAAAAAUAGA